Molecule: long non-coding RNA, 155 nt
Organism: Oncorhynchus tshawytscha (Chinook salmon)
Lineage: Eukaryota; Metazoa; Chordata; Actinopteri; Salmoniformes; Salmonidae
Exons: 3
Source: RefSeq, a predicted model, not a curated record
AGGAGAUGCUGAAACGAUUCUCAGAUCACUUCUGUACUGUCCAUGUUCAUGCCCUCAGGUCCCGUUGAUGUGGAUACACAGGCAUUUGCAAAUGAACAUUCUGAUACGUACCACAUAUACAGCUCAAUCCCGACAGACCAGCAUCCUCAGCCCAG